CGUGCUUAACACAUGCAAGUCGAACGGAAAGGCCUCUUCGGAGGUACUCGAGUGGCGAACGGGUGAGUAACACGUGGGCAAUCUGCCCUGCACUUCGGGAUAAGCCUGGGAAACUGGGUCUAAUACCGGAUAGGACCUUUAGACGCAUGUCUUUUGGUGGAAAGCUUUUGCGGUGUGGGAUGGGCCCGCGGCCUAUCAGCUUGUUGGUGGGGUGAUGGCCUACCAAGGCAGACGACAGGGUAGCCGGCCUGAGAGGUGUCCAGCCACGCUGGACUGAGAUACGCCCAAGCUC
RNAcentral lists this ribosomal RNA (292 nucleotides) under Mycobacterium avium complex sp. Its description in RNAcentral is "partial 16S ribosomal RNA". It matches the Rfam family "Bacterial small subunit ribosomal RNA", at positions 43 to 338 of the family's 1533-position model. Lineage: Bacteria; Bacillati; Actinomycetota; Actinomycetes; Mycobacteriales; Mycobacteriaceae. The record is from RNAcentral.